RNAcentral lists this ribosomal RNA (850 nucleotides) under Salmonella enterica. Its description in RNAcentral is "partial 23S ribosomal RNA". It matches the Rfam family "Bacterial large subunit ribosomal RNA", at positions 440 to 1190 of the family's 2925-position model. Lineage: Bacteria; Pseudomonadati; Pseudomonadota; Gammaproteobacteria; Enterobacterales; Enterobacteriaceae. The record is from RNAcentral.
GAAUAUGGGGGGACCAUCCUCCAAGGCUAAAUACUCCUGACUGACCGAUAGUGAACCAGUACCGUGAGGGAAAGGCGAAAAGAACCCCGGCGAGGGGAGUGAAACAGAACCUGAAACCGUGUACGUACAAGCAGUGGGAGCCCCACCACUAAGCCAGUGGUGAACUCCACAUACGCAUCCUUUGCUGAGGAUACGGUUAACGGAGCGAAAGCGACGUUCAGCCGCAAAAGAAGCAGAGGGGGCUUAGUGGUGGGGUGACUGCGUACCUUUUGUAUAAUGGGUCAGCGACUUAUAUUCUGUAGCAAGGUUAACCGCAUAGGGGAGCCGGAGGGAAACCGAGUCUUAAUUGGGCGUUAAGUUGCAGGGUAUAGACCCGAAACCCGGUGAUCUAGCCAUGGGCAGGUUGAAGGUUGGGUAACACUAACUGGAGGACCGAACCGACUAAUGUUGAAAAAUUAGCGGAUGACCUGUGGCUGGGGGUGAAAGGCCAAUCAAACCGGGAGAUAGCUGGUUCUCCCCGAAAGCUAUUUAGGUAGCGCCUCGUGAAUUCAUCUCCGGGGGUAGAGCACUGUUUCGGCCAGGGGGCCAUCCCGGCUUACCAAUCCGAUGCAAACUGCGAAUACCGGAGAAUGUUAUCACGGGAGACACACGGCGGGUGCUAACGUCCGUCGUGAAGAGGGAAACAACCCAGACCGCCAGCUAAGGUCCCAAAGUCAUGGUUAAGUGGGAAACGAUGUGGGAAGGCCCAGACAGCCAGGAUGUUGGCUUAGAAGCAGCCAUCAUUUAAAGAAAGCGUAAUAGCUCACUGGUCGAGUCGGCCUGCGCGGAAGAUGUAACGGGGCUAAACCAU